AUUGAACGCUGGCGGCAGGCCUAACACAUGCAAGUCGAACGAGUGGCGGACGGGUGAGUAAUGUCUGGGAAACUGCCCGAUGGAGGGGGAUAACUACUGGAAAAGGUAGCUAAUACAGCAUACCAUCGGAUGUGCCCAGAUGGGAUUAGAUAGGAGGUGGGGUAACGGCUCACCUAGGCGACGCUCCCUAGCUGGUCUGAGAGGAUGACCAGCCACACGGGAACUGAGACCCGGUCCAGACUCCUACGUGAGGCAGCAGUGGGGAAUAUUGCACAAUGGGCGCAAGCCUGAUUCAGCCAUGCCGCGUGUAUGAAGAAGGCCUUCGGGUUGUAAAGUACUUUCAGCGAGGAUGCGUUACUCGCAGAAGAAGCACCGGCUAACUCCGUGCCAGCCGCCGCGGUAAUAC
RNAcentral lists this ribosomal RNA (406 nucleotides) under uncultured bacterium. RNAcentral describes it as "partial 16S ribosomal RNA". It matches the Rfam family "Bacterial small subunit ribosomal RNA", at positions 30 to 526 of the family's 1533-position model. The record is from RNAcentral.